ACUGCAGUUAUAUAAUUAUUAUAAGAACAAACUUGUAAUUUAGUCGUUUGGAAAUUAAAGGCAAAUUGAAUUGAAAUACCGGGUCACUCUAUAAUUUUCUCGUUGAGAAGGGUGACUUGACGUCGUUUAGCGGCCAAUUGGGGCAUAGUCAGACCCAAAAUAAUCCAAAUUCAAAAUAAAACUCUCAAUUGCUUCUUACUUGCUCUAUCAUUCUCACUCUUCACUACUUUCUCAAUCACAGCCGGUAGGUCAACUGUCUUUCUUUGCUUCUUCAAGAUCCGAAAAAUGGCAAUGGAUACCAAUGAAGAAAGAAAUCCAUCCUCCUAUGUCUCAGAAGAGCGAGACGAAGAUUAUCUUCAUGAUGCUCAAGAGAGGAAG
RNAcentral lists this unclassified non-coding RNA (378 nucleotides) under Hevea brasiliensis (rubber tree). The record is from RNAcentral. Lineage: Eukaryota; Viridiplantae; Streptophyta; Magnoliopsida; Malpighiales; Euphorbiaceae.